Molecule: long non-coding RNA, 804 nt
Filed under: Marmota monax (woodchuck)
Lineage: Eukaryota; Metazoa; Chordata; Mammalia; Rodentia; Sciuridae
Source: RNAcentral
GGCUGUAGGCCUGAGUCUAAGCAACUCCAUUUUAAAAACUCACCAGGAACAUCCACAGAGCCCUCCAGUAUGGCCUCCAACAAGUUACUUCUCCUCACCCUGUUAAAGAGAGUGAAGCUCCUGACAGGCUGUCCUUGCCUAAUAAGAGGAAAAAGCGAGAAGAUCAAGGGUGGAGACCAUCAGACCAGAUGUUUCUGACCUCAAGGUAAAUAAUGUCAUGGAGAAAUUCGGUGGUAGCUGAUAAGGAUUGAAAGGGGGGUCAAAAAAGCCCCCAAAUUUAGUAUAAAUAAUAGACCUGAUGAACAGGGAUUCAGCCAGCAGAAACAAGGAUGCACUUGAGCUGGAGAGCCUGAUGAGGACCUGGACUGACAUCCUAUCAUUUGUCAUCAUUUCCUGAUCCUCUGCAUGAUCCUCACUGCUCUCAAACUCUACUGGCUCAUCUGGACCUUGAUGAGAGCCAUAACUUCUCCCAAUGACCCUCUUCUCAACCAGUCAUCCACUCCAUGAAAGGAGAAGCCUGCCUUGGUUCAGGACCUGAUCACCAUGGUCUGGGUGAGUGUGCAUCUACUGGACAUAAAGCCUAAGGAUUAAGACUUUUGAACUUAGCACACAGAGGGAAUGUCUGCCAUUAGCCUGUCAUGAUUAAGUGUGUUUGCAGUGCUUAGAAUUAAUCUAGAAUUGUUUGCUGUGAAUUGAUUAUGUCUAUUGCAAUGCCUAGCAUUAAAGGAUUGUCAUUUUCUUGAUUAAGAACCGAUAGAGUAAAAUUGUAUUGAGUAAUUUGAGUGAAUAAAGUAUUGAAAGGAG